UACAGCAUCCAUAUCACCCUGCAAUUCACAACUGUCGGCCCACUCAAACUAAGCAGGUGUGAGCCUGGUCAGUACCUGAAUGGGAGACUCCUGGGAAAGCUAAGGUUGGUGCUGGAA
RNAcentral lists this ribosomal RNA (117 nucleotides) under Lepisosteus oculatus (spotted gar). Lineage: Eukaryota; Metazoa; Chordata; Actinopteri; Semionotiformes; Lepisosteidae. The record is from RNAcentral.